UGAUUUAUCAUAAUAACGUCUUUCCAAUAAAUCAAGUGGGUUAUUGGCUCCCCUGUAGAAUUUUUGUUGUAGAGAUUAUGUUGUAGUUGUGUUGGUUAUAGCUGUAACUUUUAUUGCAGUAGAAUUAUUGCUGUAAGUUUUUAACUUUAAAU
This 152-nucleotide small RNA is filed under the name Arabidopsis thaliana (thale cress). RNAcentral's name for it is "ATSL101540". The record is from RNAcentral. Lineage: Eukaryota; Viridiplantae; Streptophyta; Magnoliopsida; Brassicales; Brassicaceae.